UACGUAGGGUGCAAGCGUUGUCCGGAAUUAUUGGGCGUAAAGAGCUCGUAGGCGGUCUGUCACGUCGGCUGUGAAAACCCGAGGCUCAACCUCGGGCCUGCAGUCGAUACGGGCAAACUAGAGUACUGCAGGGGAGACUGGAAUUCCUGGUGUAGCGGUGAAAUGCGCAGAUAUCAGGAGGAACACCGGUGGCGAAGGCGGAUCUCUGGGCCUUGCCUGACGCUGAGGCGCGAAAGCUAGGGGAGCGAACAGG
RNAcentral lists this ribosomal RNA (253 nucleotides) under uncultured bacterium. Its description in RNAcentral is "partial 16S ribosomal RNA". It matches the Rfam family "Bacterial small subunit ribosomal RNA", at positions 524 to 776 of the family's 1533-position model. The record is from RNAcentral.